GGUAUAGUGACACAGUAACAGAGGGAUUGAGGGCUUGCUCAGUGAGUUACAUGUUAGAGGGAGUGGGGUAUAGUGACACACUAACAGAGGGAUUGAGGGCCCUGCUCAGUGAGUUUACAUGCUAGAGGGAGUGGGGUAUAGUGACACAGUAACAGAGGGAUUGAGGGCCUGCUCAGUGAGUUUACAUGCUAGAGGGAGUGGGGUAUAGUGACACAGUAACAGAGGGAUUGAGGGUCCUGCUCAGUGAGUUUACAUGUUAGAGGGAGUGGGGUAUAGUGACACAGUAACAGAGGGAUUGAGGGCCUGCUCAGUGAGUUUACAUGUUAGAGGGAGUAGGGUAUAGUGACACAGUAACAGAGGGAUUGAGGGCCUGCUCAGUGAGUUUACAUGUUAGAGGGAGUGGGGUAUAGUGACACAGGAACAGAGGGAUUGAGGCCUGCUCAGUGAGUUUACAUGCUAGAGGGAGUGGGGUAUAGUGACAGUAACAGAGGGAUUGAGGGCCCUGCUCAGUGAGUUUACAUGUUAGAGGGAGUGGGGUAUAGUGACACAGUAACAGAGGGAUUGAG
Pelobates cultripes (western spadefoot toad) is the source of this 566-nucleotide non-coding RNA. The record is from the annotation of a GenBank genome assembly. NCBI's taxonomy places the organism in Eukaryota, Metazoa, Chordata, Amphibia, Anura, Pelobatidae.